RNAcentral lists this unclassified non-coding RNA (315 nucleotides) under plant metagenome. RNAcentral describes it as "partial contains 5.8S ribosomal RNA, internal transcribed spacer 2, and large subunit ribosomal RNA". The stretch from base 1 to 105 matches the Rfam family "5.8S ribosomal RNA", at positions 50 to 154 of the family's 154-position model. The record is from RNAcentral.
GAAAUGCGAAAAGUAAUGAGAAUUGCAGAAUUCAGUGAAUCAUCGAAUCUUUGAACGCACAUUGCGCCCGCCAGUAUUCUGGCGGGCAUGCCUGUCUGAGCGUCAUUUCAACCCUCAUGCCCCUAGGGCGUGGUGUUGGGGAUCGGCCAGCGCCCGCGAGGGACGGCCGGCCCCUAAAUCUAGUGGCGGACCCGUCGUGGCCUCCCCUGCGAAGUAGUGAUAUUCCGCAUAGGAGAGCGACGAGCCCCUGCCGUUAAACCCCCAACUUUCUAAGGUUGACCUCAGAUCAGGUAGGAAUACCCGCUGAACUUAAGC